This 464-nucleotide ribosomal RNA is filed under the name Capnocytophaga granulosa. RNAcentral's name for it is "bacterial SSU rRNA". It matches the Rfam family "Bacterial small subunit ribosomal RNA", at positions 28 to 494 of the family's 1533-position model. Lineage: Bacteria; Pseudomonadati; Bacteroidota; Flavobacteriia; Flavobacteriales; Flavobacteriaceae. The record is from RNAcentral.
GAUGAACGCUAGCGGCAGGCCUAACACAUGCAAGUCGAGGGAGAAGCCCUUCGGGGCAGAAACCGGCGCACGGGUGCGUAACGCGUAUGCAACCUACCUUUCACAGGGGGAUAGCCCGAAGAAAUUUGGAUUAAUACCCCAUAAUAUUAUUGGAUGGCAUCAUUUGAUAAUUAAAAUUACGAUGGUGAAAGAUGGGCAUGCGUCCUAUUAGCUAGUUGGAGUGGUAACGGCACCCCAAGGCUACGAUAGGUAGGGGUCCUGAGAGGGAGAUCCCCCACACUGGUACUGAGACAGGGACCAGACUCCUACGGGAGGCAGCAGUGAGGAAUAUUGGUCAAUGGUCGGAAGACUGAACCAGCCAUGCCGCGUGCAGGAAGAAUGCCUUAUGGGUUGUAAACUGCUUUUAUAUGGGAAGAAUAAGGAGUACGUGUACUUUGAUGAACGGUACCAUAUGAAUAAAGCUC